CCUCUUGUUCUUUUGGCUGGGAUCUUGUCAUUCCUCCCAAAUCCUUCCUCUUCCAAACCUUUUUGACAAUCUUUAUAGGUAAGGCUUUAGGUGGAACAUUGGUUGCAGUUUCUUUUUUUAUUUAGGUCGUAUGGGUCAUAAUCUAGGGCAGCAAGGAUGUCAAAUCUCAUCUUGGAUGUGAAGCCUUGUCCUCGGUUUUGACGUGAAGCUCGAAUAUCCGCUAGGUAUCUCAAAAAAAAAAAAAAAAAAAAAAGCAUUUUUUGUGUGUUUGUAUUUCAUUCAUUCUCUGAAUUCCUCCUUCAACAGGUUCGGAUUGUUUUUCUGUAGGAGGAUUCAUGAUCUCUUCAUGGGAUGAGGAAGCUGACAAAAUGAAAUUAGGAUCAAGUAGAGGCAUUGUAAUCAUGGAGCAGAGCAAGAUGGCAAAAAGCAAGUUUAGGAAUCAAGGAAGAAGAUGAACCCUCUUUUCAGGAAACUAAAGAGAAGGUUGAGCUUCUCACUAGCCUUUUUGGUAACUGUCCGCCUCUUUGAAAACGAGUGUGAAAAUAAAUUUCUUUCUAAUUCAGACGUGGACUGGCCUUUUCUACUUGCGUUUAACUCUCAGACUCUCUCUGACGCAUACAUCCUCUCCGAAGUCAAUUGGUGGGCUUAUUAUUAAUUAUUUGUGCAAAUAGUUUUGGUGAAUUAAGUCUUCCAAGUAGUUUUUUUUUUUUUUUUUCUUGGGCCUGAAUCUUCAACUAAUGUCGACUGUUAAUAUAUAAAUACAUCCUUAAGGGAGCCUAA
Prosopis cineraria is the source of this 780-nucleotide long non-coding RNA. RefSeq lists it as uncharacterized. The record is from RefSeq and is a predicted model, not a curated record. Lineage: Eukaryota; Viridiplantae; Streptophyta; Magnoliopsida; Fabales; Fabaceae. The transcript has 2 exons.